Molecule: ribosomal RNA, 300 nt
Filed under: Triticum aestivum (bread wheat)
Lineage: Eukaryota; Viridiplantae; Streptophyta; Magnoliopsida; Poales; Poaceae
Description: partial small subunit ribosomal RNA
Source: RNAcentral
AUGUGUGUGCCAAAAAACAGGGGAGUAAUGGGUUUUCGGGACACCCAUAGUUUCAACUUAGCUAUGCUCAGAAAGCAAUGUUGGAGACUGAUUGAAAAUUAUGAUUCUCUCUAUGCCAGGGUAUUGAUAUCAAGAUACUAUCCCUCAGGUGAUAUACUAAAUUGUGAAUUGAAGAAGGGCUCAUCCUAUGUCUGGCAGAGUAUAUGGGCGGGAAUUCAAAUGUUCAAGAAGGGAAGUAUAUGGAGAGUUGGAGAUGGAGCAAAAAUAAACAUCAAGGAAAGUAGUGACAGUACGUGGUAA